UACAACACGAUGAUUGAUAAAAAUAGAAAAGCAAUUAUCUUUCGAAGAUGAAAUGGUGGAUUUUAACAACUUUUCUUAUCCAUGGCAUCAAUAACUUUUAUCUACAGCAAAACAAUUAGCCAGCAUUUCGCUACAUGAGGUAGACGUAUAUUUCAUGAAAUUUUGAGCAAUAAGAGCGAAUAAAAUUUCUUAAUAAUAAGGCGAAAUGGGAACACGCUUCGUUGUGAAUAUUGGUCGGCAAAGAUUAAAUUGAGCUAGUAUUAACCCAACAUGGAAUUCUGCAUUUUUGCCCCAUUUUCGCAUUUAUAUACUAUAAACAACUUCAUAUUAAACUCAAAGUUUAUGUAUUCUAUAACCAAAGCCUAAACACCUCGCCAGUUUAAAGUACUUGCUAAAAACCCCUAAAAUAUUUUAAAAUGCAUAUAACUUUAUAUAUGAAUGAUAAUAAAAAAAUGGCAAAAUACAAAUUUGAAAAUAUGCCCUGGCUACUUUAUUAUUUUACUCUGUCUAACACCAGAUUAUUUUACUCUGACUAACGCCAGAUGAUUUUACUUAUCAGGGGAAGAGUUCCGCCACUCAAUGCAUUAAUCAGACUUUCUGCCCAUGCACACUGUUAACCUUUUAAGUGGAGGUGUGCCUUACCUUAACAUUUUACUCUGUGCGACACCAGAUUAUUUCACUCAUCAGUGGCCGGUUGUUGUACUCAAGUUGUAAAUUUUAGUUUAGUUACUUGAUGAAUGUAUAAACUUGAUCAAUAUUUUCGACUUAUCCACUGUUUAAGCUAAACAGGCUUUAAACAACUGGCCCUAGGGGGAGAGUGCUACUGUAGCUGCCACCCAAUUGGUUAACCCAAUGAGCAGCAAUGCACCUGACUUUAUCCUUAACUUUUCUUCUGGGUAAUUACAAUUUACCUGCCAAGGGGAGAGAUACGCAACUUAAUGGAUUAAACUGUUAACUCAUUAGCAGGCAAUGCGCCCAAAUGCACUCUACUUUAGUGUUACUCUGUCUAACGCCAGACAAUUUUACUCGCCAGUGGUCGAAUACUGGUGGUUAAUGGGUCAA
This is a non-coding RNA of Paramuricea clavata, 1062 nucleotides long. NCBI's taxonomy places the organism in Eukaryota, Metazoa, Cnidaria, Anthozoa, Malacalcyonacea, Plexauridae. The record is from the annotation of a GenBank genome assembly.